GACGAACGCUGGCGGCGUGCUUAACACAUGCAAGUCGAACGGAAAGGCCCUGCUUUUGUGGGGUGCUCGAGUGGCGAACGGGUGAGUAACACGUGAGUAACCUGCCCUCGACUUUGGGAUAACUUCAGGUAACUGGGGCUAAUACCGGAUAGGAGCUCCUGCUGCAUGGUGGGGGUUGGAAAGUUUCGGCGGUUGGGGAUGGACUCGCGGCUUAUCAGCUUGUUGGUGGGGUAGUGGCUUACCAAGGCUUUGACGGGUGGCCGGCCUGAGAGGGUGGCCGGCCACAGUGGGACUGAGAUAGGGCCCAGACUCCUACGGGAGACAGCAGUGGGGAAUAUUGCGCAGUAGGCGGAAGCCUGAUGCAGCAACGCCGCGUGCGGGAUGACGGCCUUCGGGUUGUAAACCGCUUUCGCCUGUGACGAAGCGUGGGUGACGGUAAUGGGUAAAGAAGCACCGGCUAACUACGUG
RNAcentral lists this ribosomal RNA (468 nucleotides) under uncultured bacterium. RNAcentral describes it as "partial 16S ribosomal RNA". It matches the Rfam family "Bacterial small subunit ribosomal RNA", at positions 28 to 507 of the family's 1533-position model. The record is from RNAcentral.